GUGGGGAAUAUUCCGCAAUGGACGAAAGUCUGACGGAGCAACGCCGCGUGAGUGAUGAAGGUUUUCGGACUGUAAAGCUCUGUUGUUUAGGACGAAAGUGCCUGUUGCGAAUAGUUACAGGUAUUGACGGUACUGAACGAGGAAGCCACGGCUAACUACGUGCCAGCAGCCGCGGUAAUACGUAGGUGGCAAGCGUUGUCCGGAAUUAUUGGGCGUAAAGAGCAUGUAGGCGGGAAUCUAAGUCUGUUGUGAAAAUGCGGGGCUCAACCCCGUAUUGCGAUGGAAACUGGGUUUCUUGAGUGCAGGAGAGGAAAGGGGAAUUCCCAAUGUAGCGGUGAAAUGCGUAGAUAUUGGGAGGAACACCAGUGGCGAAGGCGCCUUUCUGGACUGUGUCUGACGCUGAGAUGCGAAAGCCAGGGUAGCGAACGGGAUUAGAUACCCGUGUAGUCC
This 450-nucleotide ribosomal RNA is filed under the name uncultured bacterium. RNAcentral describes it as "partial 16S ribosomal RNA". It matches the Rfam family "Bacterial small subunit ribosomal RNA", at positions 354 to 796 of the family's 1533-position model. The record is from RNAcentral.